This 526-nucleotide ribosomal RNA is filed under the name uncultured prokaryote. Its description in RNAcentral is "bacterial SSU rRNA". It matches the Rfam family "Bacterial small subunit ribosomal RNA", at positions 379 to 905 of the family's 1533-position model. The record is from RNAcentral.
UAGUCAUAGCGAACGCCGCCGCGUUACUGAUGAAGGCCUUCGGUUGGUAAAGCUCUGUUGUAAGGGAAGAACAUUCGGGAUANGAAAUGAUCUUGAACUGACGGUACCUUACCAGAAAGCCACGGCUAACUACGUGCCAGCAGCCGCGGUAAUACGUAGGUGGCAAGCGUUAUCCGGAAUUAUUGGGCGUAAAGGGUGCGUAGGCGGUUAAUUAAGUCUAUGGUGAAAGUGCGGGGCUCAACCCCGGAUGGGCAUAGAAACUGGUAUACUUGAAUGCCGGAGAAGGCAAUGGAAUUCCAUGUGUACCGGUAAAAUGCGUAUAUUUUUGGAGGAACACCAGUGGGGAAGGCGGUUGCCUGGCCUGUAACUGACGCUGAAGCACGAAAGCGUGGGGAGCAAAUAGGAUUACAUACCCUAGUAAUCCCCGCCGUAAACGAUGAAUACUAAGUGUUGGAGAAAUUCAGUGCUGCAGUUAACGCAAUAAGUAUUCCGCCUGGGGAGUAUGCACGCAAGUGUGAAACUCAAA